Musa acuminata subsp. malaccensis (wild Malaysian banana) is the source of this 91-nucleotide non-coding RNA. Lineage: Eukaryota; Viridiplantae; Streptophyta; Magnoliopsida; Zingiberales; Musaceae. The record is from Rfam.
UGGCUGAUGAUGAGUGAUCUUAAGGAUCUUAGCGGAUUUCAGUGAGACUUAGUCUAUGAUCUGAUCUUUGUUGUUACACACACUGAAGCCC